Molecule: small RNA, 111 nt
Filed under: Thioclava atlantica
Lineage: Bacteria; Pseudomonadati; Pseudomonadota; Alphaproteobacteria; Rhodobacterales; Paracoccaceae
Description: Guanidine-I sequence
Rfam family: Guanidine-I riboswitch aptamer
About the family: This family represents a conserved RNA structure found upstream of the ykkC and yxkD genes in Bacillus subtilis and related genes in other bacteria. The function of this family is unclear although it has been suggested that it may function to switch on efflux pumps and detoxification systems in response to harmful environmental molecules.
Source: RNAcentral
GGGCAGGGCGCUUAGGGUUCCGUUGCCGCGAAUGGCAGGUCUGGUCCGAGAAGCGCCACCCGGGCGGCAAAUUCCGCCUCGGGCACACGGCGGGCCAAAAUCCCGGGAGAG